AGAAUCUUUCUCAAUGGGCGAAAGCCUGAAGGAGCGACGCCGCGUGGGGGUUGACGGUCUUCGGAUUGUAAACCCCUGUCACUUGGGAACAAAUUAUAUGACCUAACACGUCAUGUAUUGAUAGUACCAGGAGAGGAAUACGUUGCUAACUCUGUGCCAGCAGCCGCGGUAAUACAGAGACGUCGAGCGUUGUUCGGAUUCAUUGGGCGUAAAGGGUGCGUAGGCGGGCGGGUAAGGCGGUUGUGAAAUCCCAAAGCUCAACUGUGGAAGUGCGACCGAAACUAUUCGGCUAGAGGACUGGAGGGGGGACUGGAAUUCUCGGUGUAGCGGUGAAAUGCGUGGAUAUCGAGAGGAACACCUGUGGCGAAGGCGGGUCCCUGGACAGUUCCUGACGCUGAGGCACGAAAGCUAGGGUAGCAAAC
This 422-nucleotide ribosomal RNA is filed under the name uncultured bacterium. RNAcentral describes it as "bacterial SSU rRNA". It matches the Rfam family "Bacterial small subunit ribosomal RNA", at positions 358 to 773 of the family's 1533-position model. The record is from RNAcentral.